AGACACUAGAGGAUCGUUACUCUGAAAUGUGCACCCUAUGGGGUUACACCAGGUUUGUGUGCUUGAAGAACGUGUAGAACAGUAUUGCCGAUGUCACGAAGAGGCUCAAGAAUACCAGCCAAAUUUGCCAAACUGCAAUGGGGAAAGCGUACACCGGAAAAUCUUGUCAGCAGGGACGUUGAGCUUCGUAAUCUCUGCUCCCCAUUGGUGCGAGGUGGAUAUCACAAUCCUGCAACAACAGCAAACAAGAGGCCAUUCAGUUCUUUCAUUCAAGCUUGGACCAUCAACCAGUGAGGAUUCUUCCAAGUGAAUAGCUGAAUAAACUCUGACUUCACUAUGAACAAAUACUGAACUAGUUGCUACUUCACUAGUUUGGCAGUGCUUCAGGAAGACAGGUUAUCUCUAAAAACUUCUGUUCUGGAUACAGUCAGCGAUUAUUUCAGGUUUGUCUCGCUUCUUGUUACAGGAAAUACCAGUAGUUACCAUUUACCUUUCAGUAGGGCAAAAUUCAAUGGAGGAAAUUGGGGAGCCAAGAUGGACCUUCUUCAUCAAGUGAGAAACUUGCAUCUUCUGUACAUCGGCAACACAACAGUCUCCAUCACGGCUUCCUCUAGAUAAAGAUGAAAAAUGUAUCCAUGUCAGUACCACUUCACAGCCUAAAGAAGGAUGUCGCGUCGACGCGGAAGGCUCAGCAGAUCUAGACAAGCACAUUAAGUCGGACGAUGAACAAGUAGUAUGACAUGCAGACAAGCUCUUUUUGUUACGAAAUGUACGCAGAAUAGCAGAUGGAUUGUAGCUGAGAAGUGUGAGAAAAGACGAUUCAGAAAUUGUUUGAAUUCUGGAAAGGAAAAACUAUCCUGAAUACCUCAGACUUCGGCGAUGCAGGUAUGCCUAGAAAUGCUAAAUAUAGAAGUACUGUCACAGCCAGUAUUACAUGAGAUGCACCACCACAUCCACUUACAGUGCGAGAUACUUCCCAUCCAAGCUAACUGAAAGUGUGGAAAUGGGCUUUCGCAGGAGUCUUUUGUAUCCAAUUCUCUUCCAGUUACUUAUGUUCAAAACCAUAGUCACGAUAUCAUU
Molecule: long non-coding RNA, 1080 nt
Organism: Triticum aestivum (bread wheat)
Lineage: Eukaryota; Viridiplantae; Streptophyta; Magnoliopsida; Poales; Poaceae
Exons: 3
Source: RefSeq, a predicted model, not a curated record